RNAcentral lists this ribosomal RNA (206 nucleotides) under uncultured bacterium. Its description in RNAcentral is "partial 16S ribosomal RNA". It matches the Rfam family "Bacterial small subunit ribosomal RNA", at positions 524 to 729 of the family's 1533-position model. The record is from RNAcentral.
UACAGAGGGUGCGAGCGUAAUCGGAGUUACUGGGCGUAAAGGGCGCGUAGGCGGUUAUAUAAGUGAGAUGUGAAAUCCCUGGGCUUAACCUAGGAACUGCAUCUCAUACUGUAUGACUGGAGUAUUGUAGAGGGUAGUGGAAUUUCCGGUGUAGCGGUGAAAUGCGUAGAGAUCGGAAGGAACACCAGUGGCGGAAGGCGGCUACC